UAACAGCUGGCAGAAAAUACUAGUCACACGACUUUACUGACUUGUUUAUUGAAGUUUUCCGACCAUAGUGGCAUAAAGUGAAAUAAAAAAGUAAACGAAGGACGCGGACACCCGUGUUAUUGGAUAGUUUUAUCAAAGUUGUCCAAUGGAGGCACGAGUUCAUCCGUCAAACCCUAAUUAAUUUAAACGACUCAAGCUUCGUGACAGGAAAGCGCUCGAGUCAGACCACUUAAUAACUGAAGAAAGAGAAGACCUCAAACCUGCAGAUGGCACACAACUCACAUUAUCUCCGCAUCUACCCUCAAGAAGGCAUUGAACAAGUCACUCCUUCUGUGUCCUUUAGGUGGCGCUGUGAUACAGGACAGCGUGUAUCCCUCAAUAAAUCAGGAUGAAGAAUGGAACAGCUUGGGAUGCAGGAGUGUUUGUAGGCAGCUGCUCUGCAUAUAAAGUGUGUCUUUAUGUCACAGUAUGAACUCAGACUCAGAAAUGUAGGCCAUGCUUUAGAUGAUUCAUGCAAGUACUCUCAGUGUCAUUCUGCCCACAGGAUCUCUCGAUUCGGCAGUAAAUCCUCAUAAAUAUAGCACUCAGAACGUCAUCCAUGACCUGAAGUUGAAGAAAGAGCGAGUUGGAUCUGCACUGAGGUUAAGCUGACUGUGAAGGUGGGGGUUUGAAGAUGACGUAGGCGUGAAAAUAUUCAGGAUGUGGUGUAAGGUGAAGCAGAGGAUGCAUGCGGCAGACAGGAAAACAGAAUGGGGACUUAAAUGGGUAGAGGAAAACAAAGAUACCCACUAUGCAGCAGAAUCAUUGAGCUGGUACUCUCUGGAUCGACUGAAACA
Carassius carassius (crucian carp) is the source of this 836-nucleotide long non-coding RNA. RefSeq lists it as uncharacterized. Lineage: Eukaryota; Metazoa; Chordata; Actinopteri; Cypriniformes; Cyprinidae. The transcript is spliced from 5 exons. The record is from RefSeq and is a predicted model, not a curated record.